GUAGGUGGCAAGCGUUGUCCGGAAUUAUUGGGCGUAAAGCGCGCGCAGGCGGUCCUUUAAGUCUGAUGUGAAAGCCCACGGCUCAACCGUGGAGGGUCAUUGGAAACUGGGGGACUUGAGUACAGAAGAGGAAAGCGGAAUUCCAAGUGUAGCGGUGAAAUGCGUAGAGAUUUGGAGGAACACCAGUGGCGAAGGCGGCUUUCUGGUCUGUAACUGACGCUGAGGCGCGAAAGCGUGGGGAGCAAACAGGAUUAGAUACCCCGGUAGUCCACGCCGUAAACGAUGAGUGCUAAGUGUUAGGGGGUUUCCCGCCCCCCUUAGUGCUGCAGCUAACGCAUUAAGCACUCCGCCUGGGGGAGUACGGCCGCAAGGCUG
This 375-nucleotide ribosomal RNA is filed under the name uncultured organism. RNAcentral describes it as "partial 16S ribosomal RNA". It matches the Rfam family "Bacterial small subunit ribosomal RNA", at positions 527 to 896 of the family's 1533-position model. The record is from RNAcentral.